ACGCUGGCGGCGUGCCUAAUACAUGCAAGUCGAACGGUCUUUUCUAUGGAAGCUUGCUUCCACUGAGAAGAUAGUGGCGAACGGGUGAGUAACACGUGGGUAACCUGCCCAUAAGAGGGGGGAUAACGUCCGGAAACGGGUGCUAAUACCGCAUAGUUUUCUUGAUCGCAUGAUCGGGAAAGGAAAGACGGCCUUUGUGCUGUCGCUUAUGGAUGGACCCGCGGCGUAUUAGUUAGUUGGUGAGGUAACGGCUCACCAAGACGAUGAUACGUAGCCGACCUGAGAGGGUGAUCGGCCACAUUGGGACUGAGACACGGCCCAAACUCCUACGGGAGGCAGCAGUAGGGAAUCUUCCGCAAUGGACGAAAGUCUGACGGAGCAACGCCGCGUGAGUGAAGAAAGGUUUUCGGAUCGUAAAACUCUGUUGUCAGAGAAGAACAAGUUGGAGAGUAACUGCUCCAGCCUUGACGGUAUCUGACCAGAAAGCCACGGCUAACUACGUGCCAGCAGCGGC
RNAcentral lists this ribosomal RNA (514 nucleotides) under uncultured bacterium. RNAcentral describes it as "bacterial SSU rRNA". It matches the Rfam family "Bacterial small subunit ribosomal RNA", at positions 33 to 518 of the family's 1533-position model. The record is from RNAcentral.